AUGGUGUAUGUACUAAAAGUGAUCCAAAGAUGGAGAUUUAGUCAAAUCCUUCCACAACUCUCUCAUUCAUCCUUAUUCAUUAACUUCCCCUUUACUCACGCUUUUCCUUUCCUUCUUUAACUCCUUCAAAACAUCUAUCAAUCUAGCUCAUUUGUAAACAAGAAAACUUUGAAAUAAUAUUAUACUACUCUAUUAUAAUUUUGCCAUUUGAACAUCUCACCUACUUUUCUUGUUUGUUUAAUACAAUUUACAUUGAAGAUGGCGUCUCAAAAGGAAAGAGAAACUCAUGUUUACAUGGCCAAGCUCGCCGAGCAAGCUGAGCGUUAUGAUGAGAUGGUUGAGAGUAUGAAGAAAGUUGCAAAACUUGAUGUGGAAUUGACAGUGGAGGAAAGGAACUUGCUUUCUGUUGGCUACAAGAACGUUAUUGGAGCUCGAAGAGCUUCAUGGCGUAUUAUGUCUUCCAUCGAACAGAAAGAAGAGUCAAAAGGGAAUGAGCAAAACGUCAAGCUGAUAAAAGGCUAUCGUCAAAAGGUCGAGGAAGAGCUUUCCAAGAUUUGCUCUGAUAUUCUUGAAAUCAUUGACAAACAUCUUAUUCCAUCUGCUGGCACUGGUGAAGCUACUGUCUUCUAUUACAAAAUGAAAGGUGACUACUUUCGUUAUCUUGCUGAGUUCAAGACUGAUUCUGAAAGGAAAGAGGCUUCUGAACAAUCAUUGAAGGGCUAUGAGGCUGCUACUGCAACUGCAAACACUGAUCUCUCUUCAACACAUCCGAUUCGUCUUGGUCUUGCUUUGAACUUCUCUGUUUUCUACUAUGAGAUCAUGAACUCUCCUGAAAGGGCAUGUCACUUGGCUAAACAAGCUUUUGAUGAGGCAAUUGCAGAGUUAGACACUUUAAGUGAGGAUUCAUAUAAGGACAGUACCUUAAUUAUGCAGCUCUUGAGAGAUAACCUCACACUAUGGACUUCUGAUUUGCCUGAAGAUGGAGGUGAAGGGAAUGUGAAGGCUGAUGAACCAAAAGCUGUUGAACCAAAAUCUGCUGAUGCAAAAUCUUCUGAGGCAAAAUCUGUUGAACCUGAAGAAGCAUCAAAAGCUACACAAUAGUCGAUACACGCAACAAAUUACUACAGGAUUUCUUUUUUUCUUUUUCUCAGCUUUACAAGACACAACUGCUUUUGCAAUGGCCUCAUUUGAAGAAGAUGCAAUUCAUUGAAUGAUUAUCUGAUUUUUUAAAACUAGUUUGAGACUUAUUCGUUGAUUUUUUGUUUUUGAUUUACUCAUGUUGUUAGUUGUGGAAGAGUUAUCAUCUAAACAACAGGCACAUUUUGUAUUACUUAAUAGUAUCUUCUUUUUUUCU
Solanum dulcamara is the source of this 1354-nucleotide RNA transcript. It is a transcript of the gene named 14-3-3-like protein GF14 iota, with no coding region annotated. Lineage: Eukaryota; Viridiplantae; Streptophyta; Magnoliopsida; Solanales; Solanaceae. The record is from RefSeq and is a predicted model, not a curated record. The transcript is spliced from 7 exons.